AAGGCGUUUACCUUAUUCUGCGCGAUUUCUUCGGACAGUGUCUGAGGUUUCGCUUUCCUUAAACGCUCCUUAUAAGGCGUAGGCGCAGCGUCACUCUCAGCUACGGGAUAGCGAGUUGCCAGCAAGCCAGCGGCUCCGUUCGGGCUUUCCCGAAUUGUUUUCUGUUUUGCCAGUUUCCGUUUUUUAUUUUCAUUAUUAUCAUUUGUCUUGUAAAAAUUAUUAUUUAUUGUAAAUAAAUAUAAUUUUUCUCUGCA
Molecule: long non-coding RNA, 254 nt
Organism: Trichomycterus rosablanca
Lineage: Eukaryota; Metazoa; Chordata; Actinopteri; Siluriformes; Trichomycteridae
Exons: 2
Source: RefSeq, a predicted model, not a curated record